RNAcentral lists this ribosomal RNA (324 nucleotides) under uncultured bacterium. Its description in RNAcentral is "bacterial SSU rRNA". It matches the Rfam family "Bacterial small subunit ribosomal RNA", at positions 28 to 334 of the family's 1533-position model. The record is from RNAcentral.
GAUGAACGCUGGCGGCGUGCCUAACACAUGCAAGUCGAGCGAAGCGAUUUUGAGGAAGUUUUCGGAUGGAAUUGAAAUUGACUUAGCGGCGGACGGGUGAGUAACACGUGGGUAAUCUGCCUUAUACAGGGGGAUAACAGUUAGAAAUGACUGCUAAUACCGCAUAAGCGCACGGGAACGCAUGUUUCUGUGUGAAAAACUCCGGUAGUAUAAGAUGAGCCCGCGUCUGAUUAGCUGGUUGGUGGGGUAACGGCCUACCAAGGCGACGAUCAGUAGCCGGCCUGAGAGGGUGAACGGCCACAUUGGGACUGAGACACGGACCAG